ACUCUUCCUUCUCUUCGAAAUGAAUCUUUCGCCUUUUACCGAAGGUUUGCCUGGGGAGGGAUA
RNAcentral lists this small nuclear RNA (63 nucleotides) under Cervus elaphus hippelaphus. Lineage: Eukaryota; Metazoa; Chordata; Mammalia; Artiodactyla; Cervidae. The record is from RNAcentral.